GCAAGUCGAGCGAGAAAGCACUUCGGUGCGAGUACAGCGGCGGACGGGUGAGUAACGCGUAGGAAUCUACCCAGUAGUGGGGGACAACAUGGUGAAAACCAUGCUAAUACCGCAUACGCCCUAUGGGGGAAAGCGGGGGAUCUUCGGACCUCGCGCUAUCGGAUGAGCCUGCGUAGGAUUAGCUAGUUGGUGAGGUAAAGGCUCACCAAGGCAACGAUCCUUAGCUUGUCUGAGAGGAUGAUC
Molecule: ribosomal RNA, 243 nt
Filed under: uncultured bacterium
Lineage: Bacteria
Description: partial 16S ribosomal RNA
Rfam family: Bacterial small subunit ribosomal RNA
Source: RNAcentral